This 427-nucleotide ribosomal RNA is filed under the name uncultured bacterium. RNAcentral describes it as "bacterial SSU rRNA". It matches the Rfam family "Bacterial small subunit ribosomal RNA", at positions 355 to 775 of the family's 1533-position model. The record is from RNAcentral.
UGGGGAAUCUUGCGCAAUGGACGAAAGUCUGACGCAGCGACGCCGCGUGGGUGAUGAAGGCCUUCGGGUUGUAAAGCCCUGUGGGGAGAGACGAAUAAGUAGAGGCGAAUACCCUCUAUGAUGACGGUAUCUCUUUAGCAAGCACCGGCUAACUCUGUGCCAGCAGCCGCGGUAAGACAGAGGGUGCAAACGUUGUUCGGAAUUACUGGGCGUAAAGCGUGUGUAGGCGGCCACGUAAGUCGGAUGUGAAAGCCCCAGGCUCAACCUGGGAAGUGCACUCGAUACUGCGUGGCUUGAGUAUCGGAGAGGUUGGUGGAAUUCUCGGUGUAGAGGUGAAAUUCGUAGAUAUCGAGAGGAACACCGGUGGCGAAGGCGGCCAACUGGACGAAUACUGACGCUGAGACACGAAAGCGUGGGGAGCAAACAG